Molecule: long non-coding RNA, 485 nt
Organism: Lates calcarifer (barramundi perch)
Lineage: Eukaryota; Metazoa; Chordata; Actinopteri; Centropomidae
Exons: 4
Source: RefSeq, a predicted model, not a curated record
GUUUCGGUAGGUUUUCCGCGCGAUAUUUCUACGUAAACUUCAGGUGGUCAAGGACUCAGGAGGUGGCCUAAAAUGUUUAAGAAACAGUACCACAGUGUUGCCUAUAUUUGUUUACAUUUUUAAAAACGAAGUACGUCGAAUUAGCUAUCAACAGUUCCUUUUAGCUAUUUACCACUGGAUGUGCUGUCAACUACUUUGAUACUGAAGAAAUAUCAACAACCUGAUGACUCUCGGGCAAAUCAUAAUUACGAGGUCAUCCUCUCUAACCCAAGCAAAGGUUUCAUAGUCGGAUGCACUCUUGAAUCCCACCUGCAGGACAUCGACCAUCUGCAGACCCCGUGUGCACAGAUGACAAAGAUCUCCAAAGGGGAGUCGAGAGACUGGAUCUGCUUUCCUACAGUCAGGUGAACACCGGCACCUCCUAGUGGGCAGAAACUAACCACGCACGUGACCAACAGUGGUUGUAGUGAACCUAAAAUAAUGGU